UAAUACUCACAUUAUGCAAUUCUUGGAGUGUGUUUUUCAGCUCUAUCAGCCCAUGGCAGACAUCCAGCUGAUCACACUGUGUCCACAUAAGGCAAAUGCUGAGCUGUAAUCCAUCAAGCUGUUUCCGCAUAGAGAAAAGGCCAUAUGAGUACACAGCCAGAAGGUGUCUGCCUACAAGACAAAGAGGGAAAACUUACCUGAAACCAACCCUGAUGGAUAUUGGAUUUCUAAGCUCCAGAACUGUGAGAAAAUUAAUUUUAUGUGCUUUAAGACACUCAAUUUGUGGUAUUCUGUUAUGGCAGCCUAUGCUAGUCAAUUUGCAUUACCAUAAAGCAACACCUGAGAGUGGGUAAAUUAUAAAGAAAAGAAGUUGAAUCGGCUCAUGGUUCUGCAGGCAGUACAGAAGCAUAGUGCUGGCAAUUGCCCCUGGCAAGGGGCUCAGGAAGCUUACAAACAUGGCAGAAGGCAAAGGGAAGCCAACAUAUCACACGUAAGCUCAGGAAGCUUACAAACAUGGCAGAAGGCAAAGGGAAGCCAACAUAUCACGUGGCGAGAAAGACAGAGAAGCGGUAGGUCCCAGACUCUUUUAAACAACAAGACCUCAUGUGAACUGAGGGGAAACUCACUUUCACCAAGGAGAUGGUGCUAAACCACUAAUGAGGGAUCUGUCCCAUGAGCCAAUCACCUCCCACCAAGACCUACCUCCAAUUUUGGAAAUUAUAUUUCAACAUGAGAUUUGGAGGGGACAAACAUCCAAACCAUAUCCCAGCCUGAGCAGACUAACAGAGUCUCUGAAUAAAUCUAUGAAAAUGACUAGAGUAUUAUUUUGUUGAGUGAUUUCUUCUUGUAUUAGGAUUGGUCUCCUUGAAAAUAUUUUUCUCAUAUCUGUUAUAAUAAAAUACUGAGAAUCAUACUAAUUCUACUCUAAACUUAGAUAUUUAAGAGGGUUGGAUUUGACUGAUUGCUCUGAUGUUGCUAACAUAGUCAAAGACUUUUCAAAACUAAAGUGUAAUAUUAUGUCAUGCAACCUUGAGAAAAUUACAAUGGACAAAGCAGAACUAUAAUUCACAAUUCAUCUCCCAAACAAAUUGUGACACCCCUUCUUUCCAAUCCACUGAAAUAUGCCUAAAAUGAGAAAAAAGGGAAAUCUUAAAAACAACAACAACAACAACAAAGAAAAAACAGAAAACGGCAACAUUCAGGCAAAAAAGAAUGUGAGGACUAUGAUGCUGGCAUGCUAAACUUAAUUAAUAAUAAAUGAGAGAGUUUGGAAUGAU
This 1277-nucleotide long non-coding RNA is filed under the name Homo sapiens (human). Its description in RNAcentral is "HSALNT0315897". The record is from RNAcentral. Lineage: Eukaryota; Metazoa; Chordata; Mammalia; Primates; Hominidae.